CAGUAGCCGCGGUAAUACGAAGGGUGCAAGCGUUAAUCGGAAUUACUGGGCGUAAAGCGUGCGUAGGCGGUUUGUUAAGUCUGCUGUGAAAUCCCCGGGCUCAACCUGGGAAUGGCAGUGGAUACUGGCAAGCUAGAGUGUGUCAGAGGAUGGUGGAAUUCCCGGUGUAGCGGUGAAAUGCGUAGAGAUCGGGAGGAGCAUCAGUGGCGAAGGCGGCCAUCUGGGACAACACUGACGCUGAGGCACGAAAGCGUGGGGAGCAAACAGGAUUAGAUACCCGAGUAGUCCCUGUCUCUUAUAC
This 301-nucleotide ribosomal RNA is filed under the name uncultured bacterium. RNAcentral's name for it is "partial 16S ribosomal RNA". It matches the Rfam family "Bacterial small subunit ribosomal RNA", at positions 509 to 807 of the family's 1533-position model. The record is from RNAcentral.